Non-coding RNA from Lupinus angustifolius (narrow-leaved blue lupine), 96 nucleotides. The record is from Rfam. NCBI's taxonomy places the organism in Eukaryota, Viridiplantae, Streptophyta, Magnoliopsida, Fabales, Fabaceae.
AGAGUGAAAUUGCAGCCAAGAAUGACUUGCCGGAAUACAUCUACCUUAUGAUUGCUUAUAAUCCGGCAAGUUGUUUUUGGCUACAUAUAUCUCUCU